This 587-nucleotide ribosomal RNA is filed under the name uncultured bacterium. RNAcentral describes it as "bacterial SSU rRNA". It matches the Rfam family "Bacterial small subunit ribosomal RNA", at positions 102 to 682 of the family's 1533-position model. The record is from RNAcentral.
ACGGGGUAGUAAUGCGUAGGUGACGUGCCCUGCGGUCGGGGAUAGCUUAGGGAAACUUAAGGUAAUACCCGAUGAUACCAUGAGGUUUGAAUACCAUAUGGUCAAAGGUGAGAUUCCACCACAGGAGCGGCUUGCGUGGUAUUAGCUAGUUGGUGAGGUAACGGCUCACCAAGGCUUCGAUGCCUAGGGGAUGUUAGCGCAUGAUCCCCACCACUGGGACUGAGAUACUGCCCAGACACCUACGGGUGGCUGCAGUCGAGAAUCUUCGGCAAUGGGGGCAACCCUGACCGAGCGACGCCGCGUGUGGGAUGAAGGCCCUUGGGUUGUAAACCACUGUCAGAGGGGAUGAAAUGCUAGAGAGCUAUCUCUCUAGUUUGACAUAGCCUCAGAGGAAGCACGGGCUAAGUUCGUGCCAGCAGCCGCGGUAAGACGAACUGUGCAAACGUUAUUCGGAAUCACUGGGCUUGAAGAGUGCGUAGGCGGUUUCGUAAGUAGGGUGUGAAAGCCCUCGGCUCAACCGGGGAAUUGCGUCCUAAACUGCGAGGCUGGAGUGAGGCAGGGGUGUGUGGAACUUCCAGUGGAGCGGU